RNAcentral lists this ribosomal RNA (528 nucleotides) under uncultured bacterium. RNAcentral's name for it is "bacterial SSU rRNA". It matches the Rfam family "Bacterial small subunit ribosomal RNA", at positions 8 to 525 of the family's 1533-position model. The record is from RNAcentral.
AGAGUUUGAUCCUGGCUCAGAUUGAACGCUGGCGGCAUGCCUUACACAUGCAAGUCGAACGGCAGCAUGAUCUAGCUUGCUAGAUUGAUGGCGAGUGGCGAACGGGUGAGUAAUACAUCGGAACGUGCCCUGUAGUGGGGGAUAACUAGUCGAAAGAUUAGCUAAUACCGCAUACGACCUGAGGGUGAAAGUGGGGGACCGCAAGGCCUCAUGCUAUAGGAGCGGCCGAUGUCUGAUUAGCUAGUUGGUGAGGUAAAGGCUCACCAAGGCGACGAUCAGUAGCUGGUCUGAGAGGACGAUCAGCCACACUGGGACUGAGACACGGCCCAGACUACUACGGGAGGCAGCAGUGGGGAAUUUUGGACAAUGGGCGAAAGCCUGAUCCAGCAAUGCCGCGUGUGUGAAGAAGGCCUUCGGGUUGUAAAGCACUUUUGUCCGGAAAGAAAUGGCUCUGGUUAAUACCUGGGGUCGAUGACGGUACCGGAAGAAUAAGGACCGGCUAACUACGUGCCAGCAGCCGCGGUAAUA